GUCUUUUUGAUAAUAAUUUAAASUCUAACCUGCCCAUUGAUUAAUUAAAAGGCCGCAGUAUUUUGACUGUGCAAAGGUAGCAUAAUCAUUAGUUUCUUAAUUAGAAACUGGAAUGAAUGGUUGAAUAAAAAAAAUUCUGUCUCAAAUUUAUAAUUUUGAAUUUUAUAUUUAAGUUAAAAAGCUUAAAUUUUUUUAAAAGACGAGAAGACCCUAUAGAGUUUUAUAAAAAUAGAAUUUUAAAUUUAUAAGAAUAAAAUUUUAAAAUUAAAUUUUUAUUUUAUUGGGGUGAUAGAAAAAUUUAAUAAACUUUUUUUAAAAAUUAAACAUAAAUUAAUGAAUUUUUGAUCCAUAAUAAUGAUUAAAAGAUUAAAUUACCUUAGGGAUAACAGCGUAAUUUUUUUUUAGAGUUCAAAUCGAUAAAAGAGAUUGCGACCUCGAUGUUGGAUUAAAGUAAAAUUAUGGUGUAGAAGCUAUAAGAUUAGGUCUGUUCGACCUUUAAAACUUUACA
This 508-nucleotide ribosomal RNA is filed under the name Cyclotoma cingalensis. RNAcentral describes it as "partial 16S ribosomal RNA". The stretch from base 382 to 508 matches the Rfam family "Bacterial large subunit ribosomal RNA", at positions 2473 to 2600 of the family's 2925-position model. Lineage: Eukaryota; Metazoa; Arthropoda; Insecta; Coleoptera; Endomychidae. The record is from RNAcentral.